GAUCAUGGCUCAGGACGAACGCUGGCGGCGUGCUUAACACAUGCAAGUCGAACGAGAAUCUACUGAAAGAGUUUUCGGACGAUGGAAGUAGAGGAAAGUGGCGGACGGGUGAGUAACGCGUGAGGAACCUGCCUUGAAGAGGGGGACAACAGUUGGAAACGACUGCUAAUACCGCAUGAAGCAUAGGGGUCGCAUGAUUCUUAUGCCAAAGAUUUAUCGCUUCAAGAUGGCCUCGCGU
This 238-nucleotide ribosomal RNA is filed under the name uncultured bacterium. Its description in RNAcentral is "partial 16S ribosomal RNA". It matches the Rfam family "Bacterial small subunit ribosomal RNA", at positions 15 to 236 of the family's 1533-position model. The record is from RNAcentral.